Molecule: ribosomal RNA, 207 nt
Filed under: uncultured bacterium
Lineage: Bacteria
Description: partial 16S ribosomal RNA
Rfam family: Bacterial small subunit ribosomal RNA
Source: RNAcentral
CGCGUAGGCGGUCCAGCAAGUUGGAAGUGAAAUCCCGGGGCUUAACCUCGGAACUGCUUUCAAAACUGCUAGACUAGAGAAUGGUAGGGGACAGUGGAAUUCCUAGUGUAGAGGUGAAAUUCGUAGAUAUUAGGAGGAACACCAGAGGCGAAGGCGACUGUCUGGACCAUUUCUGACGCUAAGGCGCGAAAGCGUGGGGAGCAAACA